CAUAGACAGUACACAUUGUUCAGCCAACAUCAUUACUUUGGGAGCCAGAUUGAGAGUGAGGUGUGCAAGCUUAGCAUGUACUAAGAAGCCUAAAACACUCCAGAGGAGUCCACCUUGGUAAACAGGACUGUACUCAAUCUUACUGUCUAUCC
This is a non-coding RNA of Legionella tucsonensis, 152 nucleotides long. It matches the Rfam family "6S / SsrS RNA". From Rfam's summary of the family: E. coli 6S RNA was the first non coding RNA to be sequenced, but its function was unknown until recently. It consists of 184 nucleotides that fold into an extended hairpin structure with a large single-stranded internal bulge. The record is from Rfam. NCBI's taxonomy places the organism in Bacteria, Pseudomonadati, Pseudomonadota, Gammaproteobacteria, Legionellales, Legionellaceae.